AUCCGGCUCCUUUGCUCAGUGGGGAACCUGCUUCUCCCUCUGCCUGCCGCUCCCUCUGCUUGUGCUCUCUCUGAUUAAAUACAUACGUACAUAAGAUACUGACAGUUCAGAAGCUUGGGGAAGGGGAGACCCAAAUUCUGCAGCCAAAUGCCGUUUUUACUUUUGGAGCCGUAUUAAGAUCUUUCCCUGUUUUCUACUAAGAACAUGGAGAUAAAGGGGAGCCUGGUGACAGGAGAAAAUCCAGACUCUCCCACCAGCUCUGCGUGACUUAGCUACUCUCGGGAGACUUUCCCUCUGCAGGCCCUGGUGACGACUCAGGCCUUCAUCUGUGGGAAGGGAGUACAAAGCUGCAAAAGCAGUGGAUGCCCAUUGUGAGAAAAAAAUGAAACCCAACAGGACACAAAGGAUUACACAUGACACACAGAGGUGCGAAGGCACCUGGCUCCAGGAAUCCCCAACAGACCAGGCUCAGCCCCUCGCCACUGAUAAAAUCCAAAGGCAGAGAAACAAGUGGUGGUGGAACAAGAAAGGAAUUAAAAAAAAUAAAUUUUUUUUUUAAUCCUCUAUAUACCCGGACCUGGGGCUCAAACCCCUAACCCAAGAUCCAGUGUUGCAUUCUCUUCAACUGAGCCAGAAAGGCACCCUGCACAAAAAAGGAAUUUCAAAGAGGCCAACAGCAGAGAACAAGGGUGUGUUCCCUCUCGGAAACUAUGGCCAAAAAAGUGGAACGACUUCCAGGUUUAUAUAAGGAAAAAUGUGGUGCAAAGGUGGGCGGGUACCUACAGGUAGGCUGAGAAGGUCAAAAGGAUCAUUGUCCUGGAGUCAGUCCUGGGUGGGGUCUUACGGGCUCAGCCCAGUCCUUAUGGCUUCGGGGUUAGUUUUGGUUCGCUUCUAGGGAUGGUCUUGCCCUCCAGGUCUUCUGACUGAGCCUAGAGACAAACUGGAAAGAACCCAACUAGAAAGUUGAGGUCAAAACCGAGGCAGCCCAAGUCCUCUUUCAAAUAGAUCUCUGACUGUCUUUUACUCAGUAAGGUGGUCUAGACUUUCUUCUGUCUGUGUAGAAAAAGUACUUCUCUUUCUAAAGCCUGUGUAGUAUGCCUGGCAUGUGUCAUUUAUUGAGCAGGUUUUCAAAUCACCUCCCAUUUUUUUUGCUAACAUGAACGAUCCUGCAGUAAACAGACUUGCAGUAAACAGACUUGCAGAUGUAGCUUUGGUUGAGUAUCUCCCCGAGAAGGAGUCUUAGAAAUAGAAUCACUGGUCCUCGAGUUCAUUUCUAUGAGGUGUUUCAUUGUAUAGAAAAAUUUUUAGGCAGGUAAACUAAGACCAAAAAAGAUGUAUCUGUGUAUGUAUAUAAUUUCAUUUAAAGGCUCUUUUGAUCCACAGCCUGAAAUAAUUUCUUAAAAACCGGCCGGUUACUAGGAGAGUAUGUCUUCUUUUUCUUCUUUUUUUAAUGGGCACCGAUUGGCUGGGAAAGCGGCCUCCCUUUACUCCCUGCUCCCUGCCAGUCACAGCUGUGUGAUCAGUGUGGGGACUCCUGACUGCAGGCCCUUGGGCGCCCCUCUGGGCUCGGGGGCGCUGGGCCUGCGAUGCCUCCAGCCAGCACUCUGGGCUUGGGAUGAGCUAUAGUUCAGAUUGGCAUUUGUUUUCUCAAGGGCUUGAAAUUGAGAGAGGGAUUGCAGUGAUUUUCACUCUUCCUAACAUUUCUUUUUGCAAAAUCCUAUUGUGCAAGCCAGAUAUUCAGCUAAAAUCAGAUCUUUAUGGCUGUGUUGGGUACUUAAAA
Long non-coding RNA from Mustela erminea (ermine), 1780 nucleotides. RefSeq lists it as uncharacterized. The transcript has 2 exons. NCBI's taxonomy places the organism in Eukaryota, Metazoa, Chordata, Mammalia, Carnivora, Mustelidae. The record is from RefSeq and is a predicted model, not a curated record.